CAGUAGCCACGGGAAUACGGAGGGUGCAAGCGUUAAUCGGAAUUACUGGGCGUAAAGCGUGCGUAGGCGGUUCGUUAAGUCUGUUGUGAAAGCCCCGGGCUCAACCUGGGAAUGGCAAUGGAUACUGGCGAGCUAGAGUGUGUCAGAGGAUAGUGGAAUUCCCGGUGUAGCGGUGAAAUGCGUAGAGAUCGGGAGGAACAUCAGUGGCGAAGGCGGCCAUCUGGGACAACACUGACGCUGAGGCACGAAAGCGUGGGGAGCAGACAGGAUUAGAUACCCCCGUAGUCCCUGUCUCUUAUAC
Molecule: ribosomal RNA, 301 nt
Filed under: uncultured bacterium
Lineage: Bacteria
Description: partial 16S ribosomal RNA
Rfam family: Bacterial small subunit ribosomal RNA
Source: RNAcentral